Molecule: small RNA, 57 nt
Filed under: Karlodinium veneficum
Lineage: Eukaryota; Dinophyceae; Gymnodiniales; Kareniaceae
Description: partial Betaproteobacteria transfer-messenger RNA
Source: RNAcentral
UGACCAUUAGCGAAGAUGAUGAAUUCACCUCCAUGGCUGUCGCCGAAGCAAUGGCAG